RNAcentral lists this transfer RNA (75 nucleotides) under Phanerodon furcatus (white seaperch). Its description in RNAcentral is "tRNA-Thr". It matches the Rfam family "tRNA". From Rfam's summary of the family: Transfer RNA (tRNA) molecules are approximately 80 nucleotides in length. Lineage: Eukaryota; Metazoa; Chordata; Actinopteri; Embiotocidae. The record is from RNAcentral.
GCAUUAGUGGCUCAGUGUUUAAAGCGCCGGUCUUGUAAGCCGGACAUCGAAGGUUAAAAUCCUUCCUACUGCUUU